AGGUAUUGUGCCAGGUAUUGCGUCUGUUUUCAGAGCUGCUGAGUGUUUCUAACGAUUACCGGUUUGAUUUCCUGUGUUUGACUUUUGGCCUAUUUAUUCCGUUUCUGUCUCACUACCUGAUCAUUUGGACUUUGACAGUUACUAACCUCAGAAAUACAGGUGCUCGUAUCAGUCCACAGAAAGGUUCCUGUUUCAGAAACAAAGGCCAGGAUUCUGCAGUGGAACAGAGGAAAAAGCGGUUUGGUUAAACCAGCAUGACUCACCAACAGACAACAUGAAAGACAGACCAAAAGAAAAGAAAUGGGCUAAAAGCGAAAACAGUCUUUCAUAGUGUUUUUCAUGGUGUUGUAAGUGAAGUUCUUGAUAACAUUAUAAUGCAUUAUAACUUGAGCAAGGCUUAUUCAGUGCAGUGGUUAGGGUCAGUGUGUCUAAUUCUUACUAAUGGACAAUAAAAUAUAAAAAAAGAUGAUUUAGCACAGCUAUAAAGUGAAAAUAUUAGUGAAAUGUAGUGUAGUGUAAUAAUAGUGUUUUUCAUGAUAUGGUAAAUCAUGUUCUGCAGUGCAUUACAAAGGCUUAUUCAGAGUACAGUGAUUAUGAUCAGGGUGUCUAAUUCUCACUAUUGGACAAUAAAAAUGAAUAAAAGAUAACACAGUUAUAAGGAAGAAGUUUUUAUAAUGUAGUAUUAAUAAUGCAUUAUAACUGUGAGGCUUAUCCAGUACAGUAGUUAGAGUUGGGGCAUUUGGAGCAUAUGUCUCUAAAUUUACAGAGUUAAGACAAAUCAUAACAUUCUUUAUGGUGCUAUAACAUCGUUUGGUGACACUUAGCACUGUAGGGUGCUAUUCAUAAGGCUACAUGACACCUACAUAAGCUUGUCAUGACAAAUGACAUAACCCUACAUAAAUGUUUAUAAAAGCUUGUUCCAAAAGGUGUAAUUUGUUAUAAACGCUACU
Long non-coding RNA from Colossoma macropomum (tambaqui), 950 nucleotides. RefSeq lists it as uncharacterized. The record is from RefSeq and is a predicted model, not a curated record. The transcript is spliced from 3 exons. Lineage: Eukaryota; Metazoa; Chordata; Actinopteri; Characiformes; Serrasalmidae.